Molecule: ribosomal RNA, 253 nt
Filed under: uncultured bacterium
Lineage: Bacteria
Description: partial 16S ribosomal RNA
Rfam family: Bacterial small subunit ribosomal RNA
Source: RNAcentral
UACGGAGGGUGCGAGCGUUAAUCGGAAUUACUGGGCGUAAAGGGUGCGUAGGUGGUUUGAUAAGUUAUCUGUGAAAGCCCUGGGCUCAACCUGGGAAGGCCAGAUAAGACUGUUGAACUAGAGUAUGGGAGAGGGUAGUGGAAUUUCCGGUGUAGCGGUGAAAUGCGUAGAGAUCGGAAGGAACACCAGUGGCGAAGGCGGCUACCUGGCCUGAUACUGACACUGAAGCACGAAAGCGUGGGGAGCAAACAGG